UUGCUUGGGAACAGCGUGACUAUGGCC
This 27-nucleotide non-coding RNA is filed under the name Homo sapiens (human). Lineage: Eukaryota; Metazoa; Chordata; Mammalia; Primates; Hominidae. The record is from RNAcentral.